This is an RNA transcript of Homo sapiens (human), 2570 nucleotides long. It is a transcript of the gene named uracil phosphoribosyltransferase homolog, with no coding region annotated. The transcript has 8 exons. The record is from RefSeq and is marked reviewed. NCBI's taxonomy places the organism in Eukaryota, Metazoa, Chordata, Mammalia, Primates, Hominidae.
ACGUCUGGUGUGGGCGGGAGUGAGCCAAAGUGUGCUAAAGGAAACCAACAGCGGCCUAGGGGUGAAAGGACAGCCAGGGUUAGAUGUUCUGAGGAGGCGGGAGCAACCGAGAGAGCACGUGAGCAUCUGUCCUUUCUACCCGUUCCUCUUUAUCUUUAGUGUUCAGUAGCAGCGGGGAUAGCCCGGGGCCCGGUGUAUGGCCACGGAGUUACAGUGUCCGGACUCCAUGCCCUGUCACAACCAGCAAGUAAACUCUGCCUCAACCCCAAGUCCCGAGCAGCUGCGACCUGGCGAUCUGAUCCUGGACCACGCAGGGGGAAACAGAGCCUCCAGGGCCAAGGUGAUUCUCCUCACGGGGUACGCCCAUUCUAGCCUGCCGGCCGAGCUGGACUCUGGGGCCUGCGGCGGCUCCAGCCUCAACUCAGAGGGCAACAGUGGUAGUGGUGACAGUAGCAGCUAUGACGCACCAGCUGGCAACUCCUUCCUAGAGGACUGCGAACUCUCCCGGCAGAUCGGGGCGCAGCUUAAGCUGCUGCCUAUGAAUGAUCAGAUACGGGAGCUACAGACCAUCAUCCGUGACAAGACAGCCAGUAGAGGUGACUUCAUGUUUUCUGCGGAUCGUUUGGUUUUGCCUGAGGAUUUAUUCCAAAAGAGCAUAGACAACUCCUGUUCUGCUUUUCAUCAUCAGACUUGUUGUGGAAGAGGGAUUGAAUCAGCUGCCAUAUAAAGAAUGCAUGGUGACCACUCCAACAGGGUACAAGUAUGAAGGAGUGAAAUUUGAGAAGGGAAAUUGUGGGGUCAGCAUAAUGAGAAGCGGUGAGGCAAUGGAACAAGGUUUACGAGACUGCUGUCGAUCCAUACGAAUUGGAAAGAUCCUGAUUCAGAGUGAUGAGGAGACACAAAGAGCCAAAGUAUAUUAUGCCAAAUUCCCCCCAGACAUUUACCGGAGAAAAGUCCUUCUGAUGUAUCCAAUUCUCAGCACUGGAAAUACUGUAAUUGAAGCUGUAAAGGUUCUUAUAGAACAUGGAGUUCAACCCAGUGUUAUCAUCCUACUCAGUCUGUUCUCCACUCCUCAUGGUGCCAAAUCAAUCAUUCAGGAGUUUCCAGAGAUCACAAUUUUAACUACUGAAGUUCAUCCUGUUGCACCUACACAUUUUGGACAGAAAUACUUUGGAACAGACUAAGUUAUUUAAGUAAAAUAAUUAUCUUAUGUAAUAUUACAAUCAUGUUUUGAUUUUCUAUUUGUUUUACUGAUUCACUUGAGGGUGGCAGAGAAAAAUGUGUUAAAAUGCUUUUUAGUUUUGGAAGUGGGUAUAUUUGAGGUUAUAUCUCAUUUAGUUAUUUGUUUACUGUUGGCACCGAAUUCAACAAUGAAGUAUAUGCAACUCUUACAAAACAUAAAUUUUAAUAAUAUUCUAAUGCAAAUUACUGAACCCUCAGUGCAUUAAAAUUAUUUCCUAAUUUAUGAGCCUCUUAGUUUGGAGGUUGCUUGAAGCCACAAAUAAAACUCAAAUGAGAGUCAGUUCUUUGUCCCACUGUAGUUUGCAUUUUGUUUAGUUUGGUUUUAGCUCUACUAAGGUUUCACAUAUGUGGCUAUUGCCACAUUCCUCUACUGUUUUCUUUCUGAUACUGGACAUGCUAGUAACUUGGAGAGGAGAAUAAAAGAAUGUCUCCUGGAAUUUUACAUUCCCAUUAAUGUCCUCAUUCAGUUGGCAGACCUAGGAUGUAUGGUUAACUCUCAGGCCAUUAUGUUUUUCAUGGCUCAUUUCCCAAACUGCAUUGUUGGUAGGUGCCUUGCUAAGCUGUAAUGCAGUGAAGAAGAUGGUGGGGCAUUUUUAGUAAUUGGAACUGUAACAUUAAUUUACAAGAUUGAACCGGGGAUGUCUGGAUGCUGACAAGGGAGAGCCAAGUACUGUUAAUGCCAUCAAUCCUCUAGGAAGGAAUUGGUGGUUUUUCUGAAGUGUGGGGGAAAGGGUGGUUUCUUGCUGGAUUUCAUGGCCAGUAAGUAAAUUUAAAUGCUUCAUUUUUAAUUUGGAUGUUUCUGCUAGAGACCUUUGAUUUGGAAAUUAGUUAUUUUGCAUGUUUGUCAACUGUAUAUGUAUGAAAAUAGAAAAAAACCAUGCUUUUUGUAAAAACCCCUAAGAUUUGUAUAUGUUCAUCUUUAGGCUUCUGAAAGGGAGAGAAAUCAUAUUGGAAAUCAGUGUUGGUGUUCUGAAAUCUGCUUGUAAAACUCUCAUCUCAUUUUACAUUGAUAUUAAAACAUUUUAACAGUGUUGGCUAGCUGAUUACUUGAUUAAUUAUACUCCCAUGGCCCCAUAGGAAGCUGUUGUGGGCCUCUGUUCAAAAGCACAGAAAAGAGCAGAAGGAAAUGUCUUAGAAAGAAUCAAAGCUGAUGAAAUCAGCAAAGAUUGGGGGAAAGGAAGGAAGCCUGGUGUAGAUUGGAUUAUAUUUUUCCUUUGGGGACUAGAAUACUAGAAGAACUUCAGUAUAUUUUUCCCUUUAUUUUUGAAUACUGUCAUAUAAUAAAUUGAGAUUAAUAAAUUACUCAUAUUACAGUUCUUCCAUGGCAA